GAACAAGCAGGAGGAGAAGCACCGGCCAAGGCAGGGAGGGCAGAGGGAGGCCCGAGCCAGCCACGAGUUCAGCCACUGGGACAUCGGAGCCUGAAGAAACAAAUGGCCAGAUGAUCAGAUAAACGCUGUGCCCCUGACGACGACAACGCCUGAUGUUGCCAGUGACUGAGAGAGACAUUGGGAACUACCAAAGUCUCUGUCCGGUGGCUUCCUCCAGAGAUCCCAGAGAAGGAAGGUUUGAGGUUGCCAGUGAAGGGCAUUGAGAACACCUGGCUAAAGUGGCAACUGCCCUGGCAGGGAGCAAACAGGUUCUGGCACAAGUUAGCCUAAUCACUUCUAAUCCCUGUGCCCCCAACACUCAAGAUUUUCUGCUUCUAACAAGAAGGCUGACCACGUUUAAGACACGUGCUUGCUGCUGCUCUUGUUUUUAAUAAUAAAUCGCCAUCGCUUGUGUUUUGUAAUUUAGGAGAGCUUUCCCAUCCAUUCGAAUUCCUUCCUCCUGAGGCUUCUGUGCUGUGGAGCUCCUUCCUGCUCAUCCUAGUCUUCCUCAGGAUUGCAAAGCUCAAGACCCCCUGGAAACCUGGCCCCAACUUCCCUGGGACUUCAUCCCUCUUCCAGUUGGUGAUUGAUCUGAUCUGACAUUUUACAGUCCCAAACCCAUGAGGAGCCGUGAAGUUGUUCACUGGAAACAGAAAUAGGCAGGUGGCCAGGCUGGCAAGUGUGCAGCUCAAGUGUUUCAUCAAGGAAGGGUCUGGGAUUCUGAGGUCAUAAACUUGAUAGGCUGGCAGGGCAGCUUCAGUGAGAGGAAGAACUUUGAAUGAGGUGUUUUUUCCUCCUUGGUAUCCUGGGGCUACACCUCUGCCAGUGGCUUGACAGACUUUUCUGGUGUUCGGGUCCAGGGUCCGUGGCUCCCGGAAGGAAGUGCUCUUCCGGGAGACUCUGUGUGGGAAGGAGCUCUGUCAUCUGGCCAGAGCGUGGUCCUCACAGGUUUGCUGGGGCUUUCAAGACAUGGGUGCACGUCUUCCUGGGCUUUGAAGCCUUCUUUGUCCCCCGUGCCCCAGGUGCCACCAGGUCUGGGC
This 1079-nucleotide long non-coding RNA is filed under the name Equus caballus (horse). RNAcentral's name for it is "lncRNA (ENSECAG00000057144.1)". Lineage: Eukaryota; Metazoa; Chordata; Mammalia; Perissodactyla; Equidae. The record is from RNAcentral.